This 1413-nucleotide ribosomal RNA is filed under the name metagenome. RNAcentral's name for it is "SSU rRNA". It matches the Rfam family "Eukaryotic small subunit ribosomal RNA", at positions 378 to 1801 of the family's 1831-position model. The record is from RNAcentral.
AUAUACCGGAGAGGGAGCCUUAGAAACGGCUACCACAUCUAAGGAAGGCAGCAGGCGCGCAAAUUACCCACUCUCAGAACGAGGAGGUAGUGAAUUUAAAUAGCGAUGAUGAACUCUUAUGAGGCUCGUCAAUCGAAAUGAGUACAAUUUAAAUCCUUUAACGAGUACCAAUUGGAGGGCAAGUCUGGUGCCAGCAGCCGCGGUAAUUCCAGCUCCAAUAGCGAAUAUUAAAUUUGUUGCAGUUAAAAAGCUCGUAGUUGGAUCCAAGGUUAGGCAUGCCUGUCUGUUCUUAGUAGCAUGACUGUGUGUGUCUGCCUUUAUUAGUUGAAUGUUCAUUAUGGUGGUCUUCAUCGACUGCUAUGAUGUGCUCAACACGUUUACCUUGAAAAAGUCAGAGCGAUCAAGGCAGGCCUUCGUGCUUGUAUGUUGUUGCAAGGAAUAAUAGAAUAGGACUUCGGUUCUAUUUUGUUGGUUUUGAGAAUUGAAGUAAUGAACAAUAGAGACAGUCGGGGGCAUUUGUAUGGUGGCGUUAGAGGUGAAAUUCUGAGAUCGUCGCCAGACAAACUACUGCGAAAGCAUUUGCCAAGGAUGUCUUCAUUAAUCAAGAACGAAAGUCAGAGGUUCGAAGACGAUCAGAUACCGUCCUAGUUCUGACCAUAAACGAUGCCGACCUACAAUCGGGGGUGGUUUAUUAUAUUGACCCUCCCGGCUGUCCUCAGGAAACUUUAAGUUGGUUCUGGGGGGAAUAUGGUCUCAAGACUGAAACUUAAAGGAAUUGACGGAAGGGCACCACCAGGAGUGGAGCCUGCGGCUUAAUUUGACCCAACACGGGUAAUCUCACCCGGUCCGGACACUGGUAGGAUGGACAGAUUGAUAGCUCUUUCUUGAUUCAGUGGGUGGUGGUGCAUGGCCGUUCUUAGUUGGUGGAGUGAUUUGUCUGGUUAAUUCCGAUAACGAACGAGACUCUGUCCUGCUAAAUAGUCCAGUGGCAUCAAUCACUAUGUGAUUACAGCUGCUGUUACUUCUUAGAGGGAUUCGCGGAUUUAAACCGCAAGAAAUAGAGCAAUAACAGGUCUGUGAUGCCCUUAGAUGUCCGGGGCCGCACGCGCGCUACAUUGACAGUAGAAGCGAGUAUUUCUACCUGGUUCGAAAGAAUUGGGAAAUCUCCGAAUUACUGUCUCCACGGGAUUGAGGUUUGCAAUUUUGCCUCAUGAACGAGGAAUUCCCAGUAGGCGCAAGUCAUCAGCUUGCGUCGAUUACGUCCCUGCCCUUUGUACACACCGCCCGUCGCUACUACCGAUUGAGUGCAUUAGUGAGGACCUCGGAUUGAGAACAUAGUGGCGCAAGUUACUUUGUUUUCGAAAAGUGGUUCAAAUUUGUGCAUUUAGAGAUAGUAAAAGUCGUAACAAGGUU